AACGUAGGUCACAAGCGUUGUCCGGAAUUACUGGGUGUAAAGGGAGCGCAGGCGGGAAGACAAGUUGGAAGUGAAAUCUAUGGGCUCAACUCAUAAACUGCUUUCAAAACUGUUUUUCUUGAGUAGUGCAGAGGUAGGCGGAAUUCCCGGUGUAGCGGUGGAAUGCGUAGAUAUCGGGAGGAACACCAGUGGCGAAGGCGGCCUACUGGGCACCAACUGACGCUGAGGCUCGAAAGUGUGGGUAGCAAACAGG
Molecule: ribosomal RNA, 253 nt
Filed under: Faecalibacterium prausnitzii
Lineage: Bacteria; Bacillati; Bacillota; Clostridia; Eubacteriales; Oscillospiraceae
Description: partial 16S ribosomal RNA
Rfam family: Bacterial small subunit ribosomal RNA
Source: RNAcentral